RNAcentral lists this ribosomal RNA (627 nucleotides) under Halocafeteria sp. OH2A. Its description in RNAcentral is "SSU rRNA". It matches the Rfam family "Eukaryotic small subunit ribosomal RNA", at positions 616 to 1253 of the family's 1831-position model. The record is from RNAcentral. Lineage: Eukaryota; Bigyra; Bicosoecida.
CAGUUAAAAAGCUCGUAGUUGAAUUUCUGGAAAGUUCAUGCUGGCUGGUGUUGACCGGCCAUGUAUGUUCUUUCCAUUCUCGCGGGGAAGGCCUGGUACUCGUGAGAGUUCAGUGUCCGGAACCGCGUCAUUUACUGUGAAAAAAUUAGAGUGUUUAAAGCAGGCGUUUUCGCUUGAAUACAUUAGCAUGGAAUAAUAAGAUAGGACUUCGGUCUAUUUUGUUGGUUGCGGCCCGAGGUAAUGAUUAAUAGGGAUAGUUGGGGGUAUUCAUAUUUAAUUGUCAGAGGUGAAAUUCUUGGAUUUAUUAAAGAUGAACGACUGCGAAAGCAUUUACCAAGGAUGUUUUCAUUAAUCAAGAACGAAAGUCAGGGGAUCGAAGAGGAUUAGAUACCCUCGUGGUCUUGACCAUAAACUAUGCCGACUCAGGAUUGGCAGACGUUGUUUCCGACUCUGUCAGCACUGUAUGAAAAAUCAAAGUCUUUGGGUUCCGGGGGGAGUAUGGUCGCAAGGCUGAAACUUAAAGGAAUUGACGGAAGGGCACCACCAGGAGUGGAGCCUGCGGCUUAAUUUGACUCAACACGGGGAAACUUACCAGGUCCAGACAUAGUAAGGAUUGACAGAUUGAGA